UCCCUCUUAGGAUUGUACCUGCAGAGUUUCCAGUACUCCACCAGUCUCAACUAUGGGAGGGAGAGUCAAGCAGAGUCAUACCCAUUCCAUUCCUAGCUUGUCCAGUGGCUAGAAAAUGGAAGGCAUUCUGCUAUAAGU
Molecule: small nucleolar RNA, 138 nt
Filed under: Ornithorhynchus anatinus (platypus)
Lineage: Eukaryota; Metazoa; Chordata; Mammalia; Monotremata; Ornithorhynchidae
Source: RNAcentral